CACGGCGCAGUAAUCAAUGGACACAGUGUUGACUGACUGGAGUGUAACACACACGCCAGCGAGCGAGCAAGCGGCGGCCAAGCGCCAUCCUGGCAUCCAACGCCGGUCGCAAAUACAGCCAACAAGCCCCGGACUUUCCGACAAUGACUUUCUUCUGGCUUCUGAUUGGCUGAAACGGCUUUAUUGUGAACGGCACUUUUCGCACAACACACUUGUAGGCAGGAGGUGGCGACGUGUAAACAGUGGCGAGCUGGAGUGCCGCCAAACGGACGCUGAUCUCGUUUGGCCGACACCUCCGCUAGUGGCAUCCGAUCCCGACUUUGUUCUGUACAAAUCCCGAUGAGGUCAAUGAAGGCAACACGCUACACGGUUUGUUCUCAGUUUCUGCCGACGAAAUCUUGGAAUUCACUUCACAGGCUUGUUACGAAAAUAAUUCAAAUAAAAGCAAAGAAAUAUUGA
Long non-coding RNA from Syngnathus typhle (broad-nosed pipefish), 459 nucleotides. RefSeq lists it as uncharacterized. The record is from RefSeq and is a predicted model, not a curated record. NCBI's taxonomy places the organism in Eukaryota, Metazoa, Chordata, Actinopteri, Syngnathiformes, Syngnathidae. The transcript is spliced from 2 exons.